CGUCAAGUCAUCAUGGCCCUUAUGUCCAGGGCUACACACGUGCUACAAUGGCCGGUACAAAGUGAAGCGAAGCUGUGAAGAAAGAGCGAAACGCGAAAGCCGGCCGUAGUUCGGAUUGAAGUCUGAAACUCGACUUCAUGAAGUUGGAAUCGCUAGUAAUCGCGCAUCAGCAUGGCGCGGUGAAUACGUUCCCGGGCCUU
RNAcentral lists this ribosomal RNA (200 nucleotides) under uncultured prokaryote. Its description in RNAcentral is "partial 16S ribosomal RNA". It matches the Rfam family "Bacterial small subunit ribosomal RNA", at positions 1183 to 1382 of the family's 1533-position model. The record is from RNAcentral.